UACGUAGGGGGCAAGCGUUGUCCGGAAUCAUUGGGCGUAAAGAGCGUGUAGGCGGCUUGGUAAGUCCGCUGUGAAAGUCCAGGGCUCAACCCUGGAAGGCCGGUGGAAACUGUCAAGCUUGAGUCCGGAAGAGGCGAGUGGAAUUCCUGGUGUAGCGGUGAAAUGCGCAGAUAUCAGGAGGAACACCAAUGGCGAAGGCAGCCCGCUGGGACGGUACUGACGCUGAGACGCGAAAGCGUGGGGAGCAAACAGG
Molecule: ribosomal RNA, 253 nt
Filed under: uncultured bacterium
Lineage: Bacteria
Description: partial 16S ribosomal RNA
Rfam family: Bacterial small subunit ribosomal RNA
Source: RNAcentral